UUUGACGGUGCUUCAGGAAUAAGCACCGGCUAACUCCGUGCCAGCAGCCGCGGUAAUACGGAGGGUGCGAGCGUUAUCCGGAAUCACUGGGUUUAAAGGGUGCGUAGGCGGCCUGAUAAGUCAGAGGUGAAAGUCUGCGGCUUAACCGUAGAAUUGCCUUUGAUACUGUUGGGCUUGAGUCAGGUUGAGGUUGGCGGAAUGUGACAUGGAGCGGUGAAAUGCGUUGAUAUCAGGAGGAAUACCAAUGGCGAAGGCACCUUUCUGGGUCUCAUCUGACGCUAAGGCUCGAAAGCUAGGGUAGCAAAACGGAUUAGAUACCCGUGUAGUCCUAGCCGUAAACGAUCCCUAUUAGAUAUUUGUUUUGGUUGAGGUAUUUGACUUCGGUUAAAUACGGACGCUGAGAUGAGUAUCACAGCUAACGCAGUAAAUAGGGCGCCUGGGGAGUACGGCCGCAAGGCUAAAACUCAAAGGAAUUGACGGGGACCCGCACAAGUAGUGGAGCGCUUGGUUUAAUUCGAUGCUAACCGAAGAACCUUACCAAGGCUUGAACUGUAGCUGUGGUCACGUAGAAAUAUGUGACGUCUUCGAGAAUGCUACAGAGGUGCUGCAUGGCUGUCGUCAGCUCGUGUCGUGAGAUGUAGGGUUAAGUCCCACAACGAGCGCGACCCCUGUCCAGUGUUAUAAUUACUCUGGAGACUGCCUUGCCAAAACGGGGAGGAAGGUGGGGACGACGUCUAGUCAUCAUAGCCCUUACGUCUUGGGCUACACAAGCGCUACAAUGGUUAGUACAAUGGGUGGCCAAACAGCAAUGUGGAGCUAAUCCCAUAAAACUAAUCUCAGUUCAGAUUGUCGGCUGCAAUUCGCCGGCAUGAAGUCGGAAU
Molecule: ribosomal RNA, 881 nt
Filed under: uncultured candidate division WS6 bacterium
Lineage: Bacteria
Description: bacterial SSU rRNA
Rfam family: Bacterial small subunit ribosomal RNA
Source: RNAcentral